RNAcentral lists this ribosomal RNA (1403 nucleotides) under Streptococcus sp. 2010_Ileo_MS_XIIIa. RNAcentral's name for it is "bacterial SSU rRNA". It matches the Rfam family "Bacterial small subunit ribosomal RNA". The record is from RNAcentral. Lineage: Bacteria; Bacillati; Bacillota; Bacilli; Lactobacillales; Streptococcaceae.
ACGCUGAAGAGAGGAGCUUGCUCUUCUUGGAUGAGUUGCGAACGGGUGAGUAACGCGUAGGUAACCUGCCUUGUAGCGGGGGAUAACUAUUGGAAACGAUAGCUAAUACCGCAUAACAAUGGAUGACACAUGUCAUUUAUUUGAAAGGGGCAAUUGCUCCACUACAAGAUGGACCUGCGUUGUAUUAGCUAGUAGGUGAGGUAACGGCUCACCUAGGCGACGAUACAUAGCCGACCUGAGAGGGUGAUCGGCCACACUGGGACUGAGACACGGCCCAGACUCCUACGGGAGGCAGCAGUAGGGAAUCUUCGGCAAUGGGGGCAACCCUGACCGAGCAACGCCGCGUGAGUGAAGAAGGUUUUCGGAUCGUAAAGCUCUGUUGUAAGUCAAGAACGAGUGUGAGAGUGGAAAGUUCACACUGUGACGGUAGCUUACCAGAAAGGGACGGCUAACUACGUGCCAGCAGCCGCGGUAAUACGUAGGUCCCGAGCGUUGUCCGGAUUUAUUGGGCGUAAAGCGAGCGCAGGCGGUUUGAUAAGUCUGAAGUUAAAGGCUGUGGCUCAACCAUAGUUCGCUUUGGAAACUGUCAAACUUGAGUGCAGAAGGGGAGAGUGGAAUUCCAUGUGUAGCGGUGAAAUGCGUAGAUAUAUGGAGGAACACCGGUGGCGAAAGCGGCUCUCUGGUCUGUAACUGACGCUGAGGCUCGAAAGCGUGGGGAGCGAACAGGAUUAGAUACCCUGGUAGUCCACGCCGUAAACGAUGAGUGCUAGGUGUUGGAUCCUUUCCGGGAUUCAGUGCCGCAGCUAACGCAUUAAGCACUCCGCCUGGGGAGUACGACCGCAAGGUUGAAACUCAAAGGAAUUGACGGGGGCCCGCACAAGCGGUGGAGCAUGUGGUUUAAUUCGAAGCAACGCGAAGAACCUUACCAGGUCUUGACAUCCCGAUGCUAUUUCUAGAGAUAGAAAGUUACUUCGGUACAUCGGUGACAGGUGGUGCAUGGUUGUCGUCAGCUCGUGUCGUGAGAUGUUGGGUUAAGUCCCGCAACGAGCGCAACCCCUAUUGUUAGUUGCCAUCAUUCAGUUGGGCACUCUAGCGAGACUGCCGGUAAUAAACCGGAGGAAGGUGGGGAUGACGUCAAAUCAUCAUGCCCCUUAUGACCUGGGCUACACACGUGCUACAAUGGUUGGUACAACGAGUUGCGAGUCGGUGACGGCAAGCUAAUCUCUUAAAGCCAAUCUCAGUUCGGAUUGUAGGCUGCAACUCGCCUACAUGAAGUCGGAAUCGCUAGUAAUCGCGGAUCAGCACGCCGCGGUGAAUACGUUCCCGGGCCUUGUACACACCGCCCGUCACACCACGAGAGUUUGUAACACCCGAAGUCGGUGAGGUAACCUUUUGGAGCCAGC